This 207-nucleotide ribosomal RNA is filed under the name uncultured bacterium. RNAcentral describes it as "partial 16S ribosomal RNA". It matches the Rfam family "Bacterial small subunit ribosomal RNA", at positions 568 to 774 of the family's 1533-position model. The record is from RNAcentral.
CGCGUAGGUGGUUAAGUCAGUCAGAUGUGAAAGCCCCGGGCUCAACCUGGGAAUUGCACCUGAUACUGCUUAGCUAGAGUACGGUAGAGGGAAGUGGAAUUUCCGGUGUAGCGGUGAAAUGCGUAGAGAUCGGAAGGAACACCAGUGGCGGAGGCGACUUCCUGGACUGAUACUGACACUGAGGUGCGAAAGCGUGGGGAGCAAACA